Molecule: long non-coding RNA, 320 nt
Organism: Carassius auratus (goldfish)
Lineage: Eukaryota; Metazoa; Chordata; Actinopteri; Cypriniformes; Cyprinidae
Exons: 3
Source: RefSeq, a predicted model, not a curated record
AGAUCAGUUCAUCAGAAGAGACCAGAAGCAGAGUCCAGCUGUGUGUCUGUGAAGAGUGACAGGUCUAUGGAUCAGCCAAUGAAGUUUAAGAGUGGAGAUACACAGAUUGAUCUCAGUUCAGUUCAUCAGAAGAGACCAGAAGCAGAGUCUAGAUGUGUGUCUGUGAAGAGUGACGCGUCUAUGGUUUGUCGAGAACAAUUCAAGAGUAGAGAUACACAGCCUGAUCUCAGCAAUGAAGUCCUCAACAUGUUUAGAUUAAAUCUGCUGAAGAAGUUUGCAUGUCUAUAUGAGGGAACAGCGACACAGAGAAACCCAACACU